UUAUGAUUAAUGUGAUAAUUUUUCAGAUGAUUGAUUUUCAUAGAUUGUCAUAUAAUAAUCUGACUAGAGCUGCCCUGAGAAGACAGCAGGUUGAAGAGCAAAUGGCAUGCUUUCUGUGUUUUUGAAGGCAUCACCUACUGCAGCUUGUUGUUGCCUCCAGGUCUUGCCCGCAUCACCAGGGAGUCUGGAGUCUCUUGGAUUGAAGAAAAGAGUGACUAGGAAUGUGUCUUUUUCAUAUAUGAGAAAACAAUGAGAUACAGUUUGGAUGCAUCCUACCAGCAGAUAUAUACACAUCCUAAUUUAAUUAGAUUGUACUAAUUUAUACUUGAUUGACUGCUACCUACUUGACUUGAGCACAUCCUAAAGCAUAAGUGGCUACCAACGUUCCAGCUGGUGACUGGUAGUCUAUAGAACUAUGUUUAUGAUUUCAUCUAUAUCAAUGUUGAUUGUCCACUCCUUUUCAUCAUGGUUUUGGAAGGAGAAUGUGCUGACAAGGAACUCCUAGUCCACUUGUGUAAAAUUUUCUCUUGUAUUUGGUUUUUAAGAAAGGAGUAUCUGUUUUUUAACUAAAUUUCAAUGAUUUGUUUUGACAGUUACUUGGUGUUUUGUGUGUGUGUGUGUGUGUGUAGGAUUCCUCUAUUUUAUGUUCUUGAAGUAAUCCCUUCUUAAUCCUCCUCUUACUAUUUAUCUUCUUGCUUUGUGGUUUGGGUGACACAUCGUGGUUGGCAUGUUCUAAUGUACAUCAGGAUCUGUAUAUCCUUUCCAAAGGUUUUUCUUGUUUGUGAUCUUAGCCUAGGCAGGUACAAAUCCCUUCAGUUUAGGAAGCACUACUUCAAGCUUAAAAUCAACAGUUUGAAAUGAAACAGUAUUUUUUACUAUGUUGGUUCUCGAAAGAUUCAGGGGCAUGAGAAAGUGCUAAGGGAAGAUGUAGGAAAAUACAAACAGGGUUAUUUAUUUAUUUAACCAAUGAACUGCAGUGAGAUUGGUAGCCUCAGCUUCAUGAAUGGGAAUUUAUCACUGGACAAUUACUGAGGGAAAAAUAUCUAUGGUGCCCAUUCUCACAAAAUUACUGAUAACUUUGGACUGAGAAAAUGUGUACAGGCAAGGUUGUUUAUUAUGACACUUCCUUCUCUCUAUAUAGACUUUACUGACUUUUACUUCUAGUAAUAUAUGAAUGAAAAAUUAAAGAUUAUUCUAGAUUUGUAUUCAAAGUUCUUAUGGACCAUAUAGUAGUAAUUGUAGCACAAACUUCU
This 1253-nucleotide long non-coding RNA is filed under the name Phasianus colchicus (ring-necked pheasant). RNAcentral's name for it is "lncRNA (ENSPCLG00000021454.1)". The record is from RNAcentral. Lineage: Eukaryota; Metazoa; Chordata; Aves; Galliformes; Phasianidae.